GGCGAUUCUUCCACGGCGCUCGAAGCGCGUCGUGGUAUUUCGCGUAUNGUAAUUUCAACACGAGCGGGGUCAAAUCCUUUGCAGACGAUUAGCUGUGCGAAACGGUCCUGUAAGCAGUAGAGUAGCCUUGUUGUUACGAUCUGCUGAGGGUAAGCCGUCCUUCGCCUCGAUUUCCCCAAUGGGUUCUCCGGAUUUCUGGAGACUUGUAGGGGUUGUGGGAUUUUUGAUGUGUCGUCUCCGGACGGGCGGUGCAGGGUAGUCGAGUUAGACUUGGUGGAAUUCCGUCGAUAGGAGUUCCGUCGAGUCUGGUCGGCUGUGUGUUGGACGGUGUAGGGUAGGCUGCUUGGACAUGGUCGGUUCGAGGAUCGAUUCGAGGGCCGGCCUGUCGAUGAUGUGUGAUGUAUGCGGUCUAGGGUAGGUUGGUUUGUCUUGGUUCGAUUUGAUGUCGGCUCCCGUGCAGGCCAGAGUGAGGGGGGUCCAGGGUAGGUGCAGGGUAGGCAGCUUAGAUUUGGUCGAUCUGGAGGUCGAUUCUCCGGCUGGCGGAUCUGACACUGUCGAAACGAGAUGCGAGGGGUGUAGGGUAGGCUAGUUUCGUACUUGCCAGGUUGCGAUUUGGACGAGAUAUGUGGUUUAGGGUAGGCUCUAGGGUAAGUAGAAUUCGAGUUUCGUCGCCGAUAGUUUUCUGUGGGUGUAUGGUAGGUACAGGGUAGGCAAAUCUCUCUCCGGCCAGUACUUGUCUCGUGGUCGUGAGUCGAUUUUUUUGUUUUGCCAUACUAUUGAAUUUUGCGGAAAUUCAAAAGUGGCUCGGGAGUCCCGCCUGGCGUGCGUCCGACUCGAACAUCG
RNAcentral lists this ribosomal RNA (843 nucleotides) under Fusarium oxysporum f. sp. radicis-lycopersici. Its description in RNAcentral is "partial large subunit ribosomal RNA". The stretch from base 1 to 175 matches the Rfam family "Eukaryotic large subunit ribosomal RNA", at positions 3227 to 3401 of the family's 3401-position model. Lineage: Eukaryota; Fungi; Ascomycota; Sordariomycetes; Hypocreales; Nectriaceae. The record is from RNAcentral.